UGAAAGAGUCCUAAUCAAUCCACACUCAUAAAUAUCCGUGGAACGCCGUCCAUACUUAGUCAAUCAAUGUAAGUCCUUGGAACCAAAUCGAAAAUCAAAUUCAAAUCGCGAAGUAGAACUAGUGUCGCCGAUGUAACUCGUGAAGCCGUAACAUCGGGGAAAAUAAGGAUAACUAUAGUCGGAGAAAGAGUAUCGCCUAACUAAGGCCCAAACUAUCAGACUCAAGUCUGCUACACCAGUCUACAGGGAUCUAAGCCGGCCGAGCGACGUCAGGGCAAAACUAAGGCCUAUUGGAUC
Molecule: long non-coding RNA, 297 nt
Filed under: Solanum tuberosum (potato)
Lineage: Eukaryota; Viridiplantae; Streptophyta; Magnoliopsida; Solanales; Solanaceae
Description: long non-coding RNA (STUB_LNC009979)
Source: RNAcentral